Small nuclear RNA from Jaculus jaculus (lesser Egyptian jerboa), 103 nucleotides. Lineage: Eukaryota; Metazoa; Chordata; Mammalia; Rodentia; Dipodidae. The record is from Ensembl.
GAGGUUUAGGCAAGCACAUAUACUGAAACUGGAAGGAUAUAGAGAUUAGCAUGGUUCCUAACCGAGGAUGACUCACAAAUCCACAAAGCAUUUAUAUAUAUNN